This 253-nucleotide ribosomal RNA is filed under the name uncultured bacterium. RNAcentral describes it as "partial 16S ribosomal RNA". It matches the Rfam family "Bacterial small subunit ribosomal RNA", at positions 524 to 776 of the family's 1533-position model. The record is from RNAcentral.
UACGGAGGGUGCAAGCGUUAUCCGGAUUCACUGGGUUUAAAGGGUGCGUAGGUGGUUUGAUAAGUCAGUGGUGAAAUCCCCGAGCUUAACUUGGGAACUGCCAUUGAUACUAUUGAUCUUGAAUACCGUGGAGGUCAGCGGAAUAUGUCAUGUAGCGGUGAAAUGCUUAGAUAUGACAUAGAACACCAAUGGCGAAGGCAGCUGGCUACGCGAAUAUUGACACUGAUGCACGAAAGCGUGGGGAUCAAACAGG